CCGAAAGCCCGCCAAUCAAAAAGACCUGCGAACUUUUCUCUACAUGCUAUUGGGAGUGAUGCGAUGGUUGGGCCUUGUAGCAUACAGCCUUCCAUUCUCUCCUUGCGAUUAGAUGUGCACGGACCGGAUUCUUGGGGUGACGUGUGCGUUUACUCGUCAAGGAACGAACCCCGGUGCAAGAUGCGCCUAGGAAAAUUGAACAAGAGUGCAUGCCCUUCACCUGUUUGCGGGUGGUGUUGGCAUAUGCAAUCUUUUGUACAACUGAACGACUCUCGGCAACGGAUAUCUCGGCUCUUGCAUCGAUGAAGAACGUAGCGAAAUGCGAUACUUGGUGUGAAUUGCAGAAUCCCGUGAACCAUCGAGUCUUUGAACGCAAGUUGCGCCUGAAGCCAGUAGGUUGAAGGCACGUCUGCCUGGGCGUCACGCAUUGCGUCACCUGCUACCCCGUGCCCAAGCGUGCAUGUCGGGAUGUGGGAUGACGUUGGCCCCCCGUUCGCGCUUGGUUGUCGGCCGGCCUAAAAGAGAGUCCUCGGUGACGGACAUCACGACAAGUGGUGGUUGCAAAAUCGUUGCGUCGUGUUUGUGGAUGCCAUUGUUCGUUGCGGGUUGGCUCGUUGACUCUGAAGGUGCAAGGACUUGGGGCACCUUG
RNAcentral lists this ribosomal RNA (649 nucleotides) under Styphelia sp. Crayn 744. Its description in RNAcentral is "eukaryotic LSU rRNA". The stretch from base 268 to 423 matches the Rfam family "5.8S ribosomal RNA". Lineage: Eukaryota; Viridiplantae; Streptophyta; Magnoliopsida; Ericales; Ericaceae. The record is from RNAcentral.